GGUAUCCUGUGUUGCUUACCCAUGUAAAGGAAUUCGAUGGUUUUGGUGCCCCCAUCCUCCUUGAGCCCUUUGGGGUACGGGGUGGACAAAAGGCGGGCUCCGUGUUCCCUGCGUGUCGAGUGCAUUGACGUUCGUCCGUUGUGGCCUAUGGGGUCUCGGUCCGUGCUCUCGGAUUUGGAAUGUUGUGUGUGGGCGUGGGGUCUUGGCCUCUGAUCGUCCAACGU
RNAcentral lists this unclassified non-coding RNA (224 nucleotides) under Zanthoxylum ovalifolium. RNAcentral's name for it is "partial external transcribed spacer". The record is from RNAcentral. Lineage: Eukaryota; Viridiplantae; Streptophyta; Magnoliopsida; Sapindales; Rutaceae.